GGCCCCGGCUUGUGCGUGCCUGCCAGAGGAAACCUAANCUCUGUUUUUAGUGAUGUCUGAGUACUAUAUAAUAGUUAAAACUUUCAACAACGGAUCUCUNGGUUCUGGCAUCAAUGAAGAACGCAGCGAAAUGCGAUAAGGAAUGUGAAUUGCAUAAUUCAGUGAAUCAUCCAAUCUUUGAACGCACAUUGCGCCCCGUGGUAUUCCACGGGGCGUGCCUGUUCGAGCGUCAUUUACACCAAUCAACCCUGUGCUUGGUAUUGGGGUUUGCAGUUCCGCAGCCUCUAAACGCUUUGGCGGUGCUAUUGAGCUCUGAACGUAAUAAAUCUCCUCGCUAUAGAGUCUCGGUAGUUACUUGCCAACAACCCCCAACUUAUCAAGGUUGACCUCAGAUCAGGUAGGGAUACCCGCUGAACUUGAGCAUAUCAAUAAGCGGAGGAAGAUUUUACGACGCUUUAUGUGUUGUUCAACUCGAUCUCAAAUCAAGUAAGACUACCCGCUGAACUUAAGCAUAUCAAUAAGCGGAGGAA
RNAcentral lists this ribosomal RNA (530 nucleotides) under uncultured fungus. Its description in RNAcentral is "eukaryotic LSU rRNA". The stretch from base 79 to 232 matches the Rfam family "5.8S ribosomal RNA". The record is from RNAcentral. Lineage: Eukaryota; Fungi.